Molecule: long non-coding RNA, 1691 nt
Filed under: Nicotiana benthamiana
Lineage: Eukaryota; Viridiplantae; Streptophyta; Magnoliopsida; Solanales; Solanaceae
Description: long non-coding RNA (NBEN_LNC024839)
Source: RNAcentral
UCAAAUAGCCCCACACACGAAUAAUGCACUCGGUCGACCACCAUAGAAUCACUAACCGGUGUGGAAACGUACAUAGAAAUACCCAAAGCGUCACUAGGCAUGAUCAAAUAGGGUGCAAAAUAAGAUGACACAUAAGAGUACAUAGAUCCUGGAUCAAAUAAUACUAAAACACCUCUAUCACAGACUAGAAUAGUACUGGUAAUCAUAACAUCUAAGGACUCGGCCUCCGGACUUGCCGGAAAUGCAUAACAACGGGGCUGGCCCCCACCUUCCUGAACUGUGUCUCUAAGACAAUCUGAUGCAGGCUGAUCCCUUCCUCUGGCUAUCCGAGCUCCACCUCUACGGUCUCUCCCUCCACCUCUAUGAUCCCUACCCCCGCAUCUAGCUCGCUGGGCGGCCAGUGGAUCACUUGCUGUCUAAAUCGUAGGGAGAGGACCCUGAUGCUGAGAACUAAUCGAGGCUCGAGGGAAACACCUAACAAUAUGACCUGGGUCACCACAACUAUAACAUGCCUUCGGCUGCUGAGUCUGCUGGCCAUGUCGACUUGUAAUGGUUGGGCGGUUUCUGGAUCACCUGGUGCAUGAAUCGUUGGGAAAGGACCCUGCUGCUGUGAACUACACACUGCUCGAGGGCAAAAACUAAAAAUAUAACCCGGGUCACCACAACCAUAACAUGCCCUUGGCUGCUGAGACUGCUGGCCCUAUCAACCAGUAUGUCAUCCCCUAAAGCUAUGAAGUGGCGGUGCACUGAUGGGGGCUGGUGGUGCGCUGAAGGACUGCUGGUCCGAACAAUACUGCUGAGGACCACCACCGUCUAGAGUACCAUGAGAAACCUAAAGUGCCGACUGGACGGGCCUCGGGGGAUGGCCUCUGUCAUAGGAAUCCUUACCUCCAGAUGAGGUACAACUAAAUCUACCGGAAUGUCGUGGCCUCUUGUCUGAACCCUGACUACCUCCUCGAACCAGUGCCAUCUCUACCCGGUAGGCUGCAUUGGCCGCCUCCUGAAAGGAAAUAUCACUGCCAACUCCCAUGGCCAUCUGAAUGCGGAUCGGCUGAAUCAAUCCAUCAAUGAACCUUCGGACCCUCUCUCACUCUAUAGGGAGUAACACAUCUACAUGGCGUGCAAAGUCAAUAAAUCUGGACUCAUACUGUGUAUCUGUCAUAGAGCUUUGAUGGAGGCGCUCAAAGUGUCUGUGAAGUGCCUCCCGCUGAGUGACGAGGAUAAACUUCUCCAAGAAUAACUCCGCAAACUAAUCCCAUGUCAAAGAUGGAGACCCUACUAGUCUAGAUAGGCAAUAAUCUCUCCACCAAGUCUUGGCAGAUCAUGUAAUCUUGAAGGUGCAAAAGUUGACCCCAUCGGUCUCUACUAUACCCAUAGUCCUAAGGAUCUUAUGACAACUGAAUAGAAAAUCCUGGGGAUCCUCCUAUGAAGCACCGCUGAAUGUGGUGGAAAAAAGCUUGGAGAGCCAAUCAAGUUUCCACAAAGCAUCUGAAGACAUGGCCGUCCCAUUUCAGGCCUGAGCAUUAAUACUUGUCUGAGCUGCCACUGCGGGCUGAACCACUGGAACCUGAGUCCCGAGAGCUACCUUCUUCGGAGUUCGUGUGGCAGGAGUCCGAACCCCUCCUCCGGCUUGAAGUGGAUGGUGCUACCGGCAGCAAACCCGCUCUAGCGACACUGUCCAUAAAGCUUGC